Molecule: ribosomal RNA, 933 nt
Filed under: marine metagenome
Description: bacterial SSU rRNA
Rfam family: Archaeal small subunit ribosomal RNA
Source: RNAcentral
GCUCGAGUGGUCGUCGCUUUUAUUGGGCCUAAAACGUCCGUAGCCUGUUUGGUAAAUCUGUGGGUAAAUCAACCAGCUUAACUGGUUGAAUUCUGCAGAGACUGCCAGACUAGGGACCGGGAGAGGUGUGGGGUACUCUAGGGGUAGGGGUAAAAUCCUGUCAUCCUUAGAGGACCACCAGUUGCGAAGGCGCCACACUAGAACGGAUCCGACGGUCAGGGACGAAGCCUAGGGGCACGAACCGGAUUAGAUACCCGGGUAGUCCUAGGUGUAAACGCUGUGAACUUGGUGUCGGGAGUCCGCAAUGGGCCCCCGGUGCCGGAGUGAAGAUGUUAAGUUCACUGCCUGGGGAGUACGGUCGCAAGGCUGAAACUUAAAGGAAUUGGCGGGGGAGCACUGCAACGGGAGGAGCGUGCGGUUUAAUUGGAUUCAACGCCGGAAAACUCACCAGGGCCGACUGUUAGAUGAAGACCAGCGUAAUGAGCUUGUCGGAUUUUCAGAGAGGUGGUGCAUGGCCGUCGUCAGUUCGUACUGUAAAGCGUUCUGUUAAGUCAGAUAACGAACGAGACCCUCAUCUCUAUUUGCUACCCGUCUCUCCGGAGGCGGCGCACUAUAGAGAGACCGCUGGUGUUAAACCAGAGGAAGGCGAGGGCAACGACAGGUCAGUAUGCCCCGAAUGUCCUGGGCUACACGCGCGCUACAAAGGACGGGACAAUGGGAAGCCAGGCCGAGAGGCCGAGCUAACCCGAAACCCGUUCAUAGUUCGGAUCGAGGGCUGUAACUCGCCCUCGUGAAGCUGGAUUCCGUAGUAAUCGUGUUUCAAUAUAGCACGGUGAAUAUGCCCCUGCUCCUUGCACACACCGCCCGUCAAACCAUCUUAGUUGGGGGUGGGUGAGGCUGCGCUUUAUGGCGUAUUCGAGCCUGCCUUCGACA